GGGGUCACAUUUGACCAUCUGGUUGGGCUGCUCAAGCAAGCAUUGGUGAUUUCUGCCACAGUUAACUGCUCAUGGUAAGCUUUCUCUGCUGAGAUGACAGGUGCAUAUGUGGCCAGGGGAAAGUGGAUACGUGGGUAAGGCACCAAGUUGGUCUGGAACUCUGUCAGAUCAACAUUCAGUGCCCCAUCAAAGCGCAGAGAAGCUGUGAUGGAUGACACAAUUUGGCUGAUGAGUCGAUUCAGAUUGGUGUAGGUGGGGCGCUCAAUGUCAAGGUUCCUGCGGCAGAUGUCAUAAAUGGCUUCGUUGUCUACCAUGAAGGCACAGUCUGAGUGCUCAAGUGUGGUGUGGGUUGUCAAGAUGGAGUUAUAGGGUUCUACAACAGCUGUGGACACUUGGGGAGCGGGGUAGAUGGAGAAUUCCAGCUUAGAUUUCUUCCCGUAGUCAACAGAGAGACGUUCCAUCAACAAGGAAGUAAAACCAGACCCAGUGCCACCACCAAAACUAUGGAAGACAAGGAAGCCCUGGAGACCUGUG
Molecule: long non-coding RNA, 534 nt
Organism: Erpetoichthys calabaricus (reedfish)
Lineage: Eukaryota; Metazoa; Chordata; Cladistia; Polypteriformes; Polypteridae
Exons: 3
Source: RefSeq, a predicted model, not a curated record